AGUCGACCGUACGGUACGAACGACCGAUAGCCACCACACGGACGGCCCCUGGCAUACGGGCAACCCGGCCGACAGCCAAUUUGACAGGAGUUCGACUUUAGUUGAGAACCAACCUAUCCUCAGCUUGCCCUCUUCUGCUAUUUUAUUCGCCGCCUCCAACGAGUAUCUGGUCCAACACGACCACAUGCCAUUAUGAGCCGGACGAAUCGGACAUUGUGACAUCUUGAAGUUUGCAACCGCCUUUAUCUACGAUGGCUGAGGUAAUCUCCUUCUUAUUGGUACCUUCCAUCGGGUCGCAUAUUCUAAUAUCCUUUUGAUUGUUUUUCGCAGGUUGCCACAGUCGCCAGCCUCUUUCUACCCUCCAAGAGACAAGGGAUCGCUUUCCAGGAUUGUCGCUCUACUCAGGAACGCUGGAACGUUCGUCGAGUUUGCAUCCGUCGGAAGGACCGCUACUACAAUUCGGAUCGUCUCCACUCGGAUUCGCACAACACUCAACGGUUCUACUUAAAUUAAUUGCUAAUCGUAUGUUUCGUUUUGUUUCAGGUGCCGCCGUCGUCUCAGGAUCGUCUCCAGGUUCUUCGUCGUCGUCUCACGGGAACUUCGCCAGGUAAGUAUGUUUUUAAUAGAUGUGUAUGCCCGCAGUCUCGUGUUUUGAUAGGACUCUUUCUUUUCAGGUCACCCGGAUUCCAUCGAACUCAAGAACAGUCACCCAGGAUACUGUUAAGGUAAGUGAGAAACAUAACACUUUAGUUUCGGUUCAACAAAUAACAAACAGGUAGGUUUAUUCAUCAACCUUUUACAAACAGCUCACAUAAUCCCGUCCGCGACGCUUCUUCACACUCGCGUAAACGUGGUUUGUUAUUCGCUUUGCAUUUAAACAGGCCUACUCGCGUUCGGCCAGUGCGCUUUAAUUUAUAACUCGGAAGAUGAUUAUCGUCGCGUAUCCGCGGAACUUUCGCUAGAUCGCUCGCGCCUACUAGCAUUCGGCGGGAAUUAUACAGUAUCGACUGUCCGGGGUGUUCCCCUUGUGAAAUCUUACGCGCAAAAGCUCUCGGGCGCUUGUAACGCGACUUUAUAUAGUCGCUCGCACGGGCUUCCCUUUCUCUUGCGUCUCCGCCAAUCGCGGUGUUGACCAGUGGUGCAAGUUUUUGGGCCGCGAGCACCUCGGGUGCUCCGCCGAGCACUCAAGUCGGUCGCGUUUGUACUUCGAGUCUCGGGCCGGCUCGGUCGCUCUCGCUGCGCCUACCUUUACUCGGUUAUUAAACAGAGAGAGACGUCCGUCUCUCUUCCUCCAAGGCUGCCACGAAAGCGUGCGUUCAGCGGCCAACGAUUGACGCUUGACGAAAGGCACCUAUGCUCCCCCCGUCCCCUCGCAUGACUCCCGCUCAUCUCAGCAUCGCGAUCGUCGAGCAAAUCAAUUGAUAUUAAUCAUUGAUAGCAUUGAUAAUAUUAUUUAUAAUUUUUAUUAAAUUUUUUACCAUUAAUUAAUGUAAUUUAUUGUCCUAUUAAAAUUAUAAUAAAUUAAUUAUAAUAAAAUAAAUUAUAAUAAAAAUGUACAUUAAAUAAUAAUAAACAUUUUUAAUAAAUUAUUAAUUAUACAACUAAAAAUAGAAAGAGCUGAUGAGUUAGCAGCAAAAGAUCUUUCUAUCCAAAUUCUUUAUUCUGUAAUAGUUAAUAGACAUUUCGUUAUUCGAUCAUUUUUAAUAUAUAGUUUCCCCAAAUGUACCAUAAGUAUCAAAUAAAUACGCCAACAUGUCAAA
RNAcentral lists this unclassified non-coding RNA (1760 nucleotides) under Monomorium pharaonis (pharaoh ant). Its description in RNAcentral is "uncharacterized LOC118647656, transcript variant X1". Lineage: Eukaryota; Metazoa; Arthropoda; Insecta; Hymenoptera; Formicidae. The record is from RNAcentral.